UAAAUCAAUUUACAAUUAGGGAUAAAAUGGUCAUUAAAAAUUUAAAGAGGGUAUAAAUGAAAAUAGUAAAUAGAAAAUGGUAGAAUUAAAAAGGGGUAGUGUGAAAAGGGCAUUACAAAGAAUUUUCUAUAUUCAAUUAGUGUUUCUUACCACAUAUUAAAUUGUCAAAUUUUAU
This 175-nucleotide small RNA is filed under the name Arabidopsis thaliana (thale cress). RNAcentral's name for it is "ATSL161160". Lineage: Eukaryota; Viridiplantae; Streptophyta; Magnoliopsida; Brassicales; Brassicaceae. The record is from RNAcentral.